CUCAGACUGAAAACUGCUAACCCAGAUCAAGACCAGCACCAAAGAUCCUUUCAAGAAUGAUGAAAACUUUAAUGAUUGCUUUAUUUGCGUUACUUUCCUUCCAUACCUUGGCAUCCUGUUUCCUUUCUAACAAAGCAGAUGCACAGAACUUUUCUACGACCCUGGUCAUAAUCUCGCCAGUGCUGGCAAGUCUUUCCAACAACACCAAUCUGGCAAAAGCAUCUAACCAGACACAGG
This is a long non-coding RNA of Acipenser ruthenus (sterlet), 237 nucleotides long. RefSeq lists it as uncharacterized. Lineage: Eukaryota; Metazoa; Chordata; Actinopteri; Acipenseriformes; Acipenseridae. The record is from RefSeq and is a predicted model, not a curated record. The transcript has 4 exons.